Long non-coding RNA from Musa acuminata AAA Group (dessert banana), 11690 nucleotides. RefSeq lists it as uncharacterized. The transcript has 2 exons. The record is from RefSeq and is a predicted model, not a curated record. NCBI's taxonomy places the organism in Eukaryota, Viridiplantae, Streptophyta, Magnoliopsida, Zingiberales, Musaceae.
UGCUCCAUACAUAUUAUUCUCGACGGAUAUUCCAUUCAUCUUUCUUGGGCCGAGUCUCUUGAAACCGAUGUUUGAGGGCGAGAUCUACUUGUUGAACCGCUGCUGCCGCUUAAGGCUGCUCUGUUAUGAGCAAGUAAAGGCUCGUGGAGCGAGAUAUCCUCUCUUUCGCCGCCGAAAUAUAGUAUUGAGUUGAACCAUCAAUCAUUCGGAGCGUCAAGUGCAAUUAGAUCCAUUUCCAUUUCUUUUUAGGAUCUAUUAGUAUCAUAUUUAUGGUUGACUUGGAAUAAAGGAAAAAAUAGAGUCUCUAGGCUAGGCUCCGUUCAGAAAAUACCAGAUGGGGAAUCAAUGUAAUGGACGAUUACCACUAGUAUCAUAAACGAUUCUUAUCCGGAUAUUAUAUAGGAGUGAUUUCAAACGUCCAACCAAUAACCAAUGGAAUAGUCUUAUGAAUACAUCGAAUGGUUGGGGAAAGGCAUUCAACGAAUUGAAAAAGGAAGUGGUACUGAGAGCAUUAGCCGCCCUAUAUGCUAUAUAGAAUUCGGACAGAUCUAUUCCCGCAGUAGAACAUAAACCUCAAAAGAAAGGAAAGUGCAAACUAAGGGAUCUAAAUCAGAUGGAUUCUCUCUAUCUAGCUUUCAUAUUAUAGAAGAUUCUCUCUAUCUAGCUUUCAUAUUAUAGAAUAAGAAGAGUUCAUUCCAUUGCGGAGCCGUAUGCAACGCACAGAAGAUGCCAGUGACGGUUGGUCCAUUUCUUCUUGUUAUUCAUUUUUGACCUUACAUUAGCCCAAUCCUGCGAGAUAGAGGAACCGUUCAUUAUGUUCUUAUCUAAGAGAUCAAUAUAAUUAGGGUCAUGAUUCAUAAACCAGCGCUUUUUCGUUUUUCUGAAGCACAAGCAAAGCUGGGGAAUAUCUCCUGGAAGUGGAAGAACUAGUGACGCGAAACCCUAACAAAGGUGGUUUAUGUACACCCUUUUAUGGGUUGUAUCUGAAGACAUGGAAAGGGAUGUUGUUCUUAUGUCAGCAACUGAAGCCCAAGCAAGCUCAUGUAGCGGUCGAAAAUGCAAAUACUGGGGAUUUCAUGUAAAUACAUUUCAAAACCAUAAUGAGAAUUUCCGGCAUUUGUGGUAUUGAAUAGAAAUACGGAAUUCUUAAGCUCCAAUCCAAUCAUAAGGUAAAGAUCGAUCUAAACCAACCCUGUCCUGUUAUUAGAGAAAUAUAUUAAUAAUCUCCAUAUAUAUGGACGACAUGCCAACUAUUCCACUUAUUAUUAGGAACGAACACAAGACAGCCUAUAAGGAAUGUGGAGAAUUCUCCCGCUCUUACAAGAUGUACUCCGCUUAGAAUAACAUUGACUAGGGUGUAUGUGCGACUCGUUCAGAUCAUGAGUUCGAAACAAAUGAGACAAUUUGGACAGUGUCAAUGACCGGUACCAAUAAAUAAGGGUCAAUAGAAAAGAUCCAUCAAAAACGAAUAGAUUAUGUAUGGAAUUUACCGGUACCAAUGAAUAGGGUCAAUUGAAAAGAUCUAUCAUCUCCAUAUCCAUAUUAUGGUGAAAAUCCAAUCACCUAGAUAUUAGAUGAAAAGCUAUUACCCAUUGGUAGAAAAUGGUUAUCCAUGAAGCUAUGGAACAUGGUAUUCUAAGAAGCAAAGAGAUUAUCUCCUAUGUAGUUAGAAGCAAAGAGAUUAUCUCCUAUAUAGUUAGUUAAAAGAGCCGGACUAUGAGGGUCUGCUACCUAGCCGAAUUUCAUGCCAUCAUUGUAUAGAUACAUUUUCUUGUGAAAAGAGCUAUUACUCAACACAUAUAUAUAUGUGGGUAGAGCCAAAGAGUGUGAACUAUACCAUUUGAUUAAAUGAAAGAGGAGGCUCCGGUGUAUAGAGAGGACAGGACCUCACCGUUUCAGAAGUAACCAUAGAAAGGAUGGAACCCCUAUUCUUUAGAGUCUAUCAUUCCUAUAUUGAUUAUUUGCAGGUGAAAUGCCUUAUUAGCAGGUGAAAUGCCUGAUAGGCUUUCUUUGAUUUGUUUACAUUAUUUCUCUUAUCCAUGUGUGAGAUAUAUGUGUGAAGUUCAUCCUCUUCCUUGGCGAGAACGCACACGCCUUCGUUCGAUCUAUUUCUUUAUUUAUCCAUGAAUCGUAUGCUUGUAACAAUAGCGAAAAUAUCCUAUCAUUUCCUAUAAUCGACCAGAGUUGUUGUGCGCCAUAGAAUAGAUAUAAUAUAACAUAACUAUACACACACACAAACAAACGAAUUGUUUAAGAUAUGAUAUUUUGUGCCUCAUUAAUCUUCUUUACAGUCAGUUGUUACUAGAUUCUAUAUUAGUCACACACUCUCUUUUAUUCUAUCUAUUCUACAAGCAACGUAUAUUAAGCUAAGCGCGUUAGAGAAGGUUGCCCUUGACUAUACCCUACUGCUGAACUUAGUCAAGCACCUUUACUAUACUGAGUCCUUUCUUUACCUUUACUAUACUGAGUCCUUUCUUUACCUUUACUAUACUUCACUUCACUUAGUUAAGCUAUCAUUGAUUAUACGGAAUCUCUGGUAUCUCCUCUUCUCUUUCUUUAUUAGCUAUUCGAAGAGUUUCUUCUCUUUCUUUAUUAGCUAUUCGAAGAGUGGGAACAUAUGAAUUAUAGCCUAAUUCAGGCUUUCAGCUCCUUUCCUUUCUUAGUAACCUCAGCAGUUGAGAAUUCCGUCUUCAAUUCUUUCUCUUUAUAUGAUUCAACUUCCACUCGAACAGUUUCUCUAUACGCCAACAAAGGUCAAGUUCACAAAAGACUACCUCUAAGGCCAGGCCAAGUUAACCAAAAAGAAUAGGAGCAUUGCGCUUGAUAACCCCUGUGGGCCCACUAGAUUUAUGGGUUUAGGCUAUCGUAAAUGCCAAGACCCUUGAGUGACUAUUACUAUAUAACAGAACAGCUGCACCUACAUUCCAAAAGUGAUGUUUUGAGAGCUGCUUGCUUCUAGGUGGCCGGAAAGUACACAGUAUAAGACACAGAUCCUCUUCUCUUCUUUGCGCUCUUCCUAUAGUUGGUGCACCAUGUUCCACUUUAGGCGUUAAGUUCAAGCCAAGUUCAAGGAAUAGAAUAGCGGCUGGGCAAUUAAGCAGAUAGGCACAAUAAGUGGAGUAACUCGGAUUCUAUAUGUAGGUAGGGAUAGCUAUCAAUCUUAGACUUGCCGAGGUAGGCGCACGCACAUAUCAUAUAUUCUUUUACUUGCCGGGGUGGGUGCACAUAUCAUACAUCUUUUUCUUUUGCAGCACUCUAUUCCAUUCAUUUUGGAUGCUUUAGAGAACUCGGGCAAUAAUGAAGCACUUGAGUAUAUAUAGGGUUCGUACGCGAGUAAGAUCAAAUAACUAGCAAUAGGCUCAUAAAUAAGGUCCAAUCAAGUCUGUAUGGAGCUCCUAGGCUUUCGAUAAAUCCAAUCAAUCCGGACUUCCAAUAUGGUUUUCAAGGGCUCGACUUACUGGUAAAGCUCUCUUCUUUCUCUAAGAGUAAUGAGUAGAAUCUAAAGAAAUAGAGUAAUGAGUAGAAUCUAAAGAAAUAGAGUAAUAUAGGUACCACGGAGCGGUAAAGGCGGGUAUGAGACUUUCAUAAAUCAGACACGGAUCUCAUUCCAUCUAUCUUAUCAAAAUCUCACUAGGAAAAGAGGAUAGAGUUAUUCUAAACUUGGGUGGCUCCUACCUAUUCAUCUUAUGCCCACGCUUGGGUUGGGUGGCUCCACCUAUUCAUCUUAUGCCCACGCUUGAUAAUACCGUCUCAAUCGUAAUCAUCCUUAUCGCUAUUAUAUAUUUAAAUGUAUGCCUAAUGAAUGUUAUAUGUAUGCCUAAUGAAUGUAUAGAAUUGAAAGAUGUAUGUAUGUAUGUAUCCCUAAUGUCUAGAGAAUAGAAUGAUCCUCGUUGCACUUUUUCGCCUUAGUAAGUUCAAUAGUUCAUGGAAUUUUCAUUGGAAUAGUGGCAUGCAUUCCCUCUUCCGCUCGUUACUUAUGUGGGGUGUGGGAUUUCUGAGUGUUCCUUCUUUCAGUCGAUUCCUCUUGGAGUGAGUCUUCUUGCUUUGCUUACCCUCGCCUAAGGAGAUAGCACCUACUCGAUCAAUCAUCAUACUAGAUUCUAUUAUCAUAGUCACAAUCAUCAUACUAGAUUCUAUUAUCAUAGUCAAUAGCUAAAGGGGUGGUAUCAUAGUCAAUAGCUAAAGGGAUAGUCGUAACGAAAAUCCAACAACCUCCUUACUUUGUCUUAGACCAACGUUCAUGGCAUCGAGACAGUUCUAAGGACGAGACCUAUACAACAACUAUGAGGUGAGACAGCUUCUUCGUGAUAAGUAUUUGAUGCUAAUAAAUGAUUUGCUGAUAAUCUGAGUUUGCCUAGCAUGGACUUGGAAGCACUAAGUAAGCACUGCAUUCAGUCACUCCUAAGAAGAAAACUAUGCUUAGCUGCAUACCUUCUCUUAAUUAGAAUAACGCCGAACAGUGUUCAAAUGCUAGUUUGAUUUUCACCAUAUCCCUGACAUGAUCCUAACCUAAGUAAUGAAAAGAUCAUAUGUGAACUAGCAGCUUUUCCCUGAAUCUCUUUCUCCGGAAUCUGGCCUCGCCCCAAGGCAGCCCACGGAGCAGUAGGUUUUUCCUCAUUCGAUCUAAAACAGCAAUGGCUUUUCUUCCUGGCAUAUGUACCACUAUAUAAUAUAGUCAAGGCCCCAGCUCCUCGCAUUCCAUUUUCCGUUCUUUCGCUUAGGCUGUUUUGAGUGAGAAGCGAAGUUCCGUUAGCAAGCCUGUGACUGCAGACUAGUCUACGCUCAGCGAACAUUCCGACCUUGCCUCGAUACUGACAGUUCAGUGGGCAGAGAGAGAAAGGCAAAUAAGUAGUUCCGCUAGCUAAACUCACCUCAAUACUAGACUUAUUAGCUAAUAACAAAGAUGCUAAAGAAGAGAAGCUACAUCCACUACCUUCACCCUGACAGGAUAAGCGGAUGAGCGUACCAAGGGACUUACUGACCAAAGCAGCUAACUAAUGCGACUCCAGACAAUCUACAACUCUGGAUUCCUCGCAACAAACAAGCUACCAACAAGCAACAUUGAGUAUAGAAUCAAUAUGGUAUAUAUAAUAUGAAAACACUUCUAUACUAACUAUAGGUGUCGCGCUCACGUAUGAGUUAUUAGAGUUCGUUGCUUCUUUGUUGCGCUUACUGAGUUAUUAGGAAACUGAAACCACCUUACUGCAGUAGCUGUAGUAGUAGCUGUAGGAAUAGUGGCCAAAUAUACUUCAUUCAUUCGUCUUAGUAGUCUUAGUGAUGUAGUAUACCUUCGUUACCUUCCCUUAGUCCCAUGCAGUAGUCGGAUUACCUUCGUUACCUUCCCUUAGUCCCAACACAGCUGACAUCAAGCAUUCCUCUCUUAAGUAAUCCCUUGAGGCGAGAUAAGCCUAAGACCUGAUAAUGCGGCAUCCACCCACCCGCUUUAAGGACCGAGCUACCCACAUUGAAGGUGCUGAAAGUCUAACUAUAACAAUAAACGAUUGAAAGAUCUAGCUUGUCAUUAGCCAACCCUUCUCUCUAUCACUCCUUUGGAGGAAAGACCGGUAUAAUCAUUCUCUAACGCGAGAAAGCAACUACUUGAACAAAGAAAGAAGGCAGGCAGCGAGGUUAAGGAAUGCUAUUAAGACUCGAUUUAGCUACACCUUAUAGAGCUCCAUUAAGCCAAGCAAGAAGUCAAUUGUGGUUAUAGUAGCUAGCUCAAUAGCGGAUAGAGAUGCAGCCUCAGAAGCCGAAGCAAGAUCCGGUGAGGAAGCUGUGCGCAAGCAAGUACUAAUAUUCUACGGGUAUUAUUAAGGGUCUUCAUGAAAGUAUAGUUCCAGAAUCCGCUGGUAAAGAAUCCUUAUAUGUUUCCUCGGCGCGUAAGGGAGCUCGUUAAGUCUUUAUUUAAGUUGAAGCAUAGAUCCAAUUCAGAACUGGAAGUAGGGGUUGGGCAAAGGUCAAACAAUACCCAUCCAUCUAAUCUACCUCAGGCAACAAAGACAUAUGAAACUCGGGGUGAAAAGACAGAUUCCACUCUUCCUCUAACUUACACUGGGGAUUCAACUCUAAAGUCACUACUAACCAAGCAACUACGAAGGCCAAGUCGACAACAACACUAGUUUCUUUCGCAACGUCUUUCGAAAGGGCUCAAACCUUUUCUUAUAGUUUCUAAGCACCAAUACGGGCUCAAACCCUUUCUUAUAGUUUCUAAGCACCAAUACUAGACUUGACUCGAAUUCCAUACUCUCCGCUUAGUAUUGCAGCCCGAACUCCCGUAAGUAAAGAAUUAGAUUGAGCUGAUGCUGAUGCAUGACGUCUUGUUUACCUUGUCUCAUUUCUAUUUGACUCUCUUGCUCUUGCUGGGCAUCUCAUCUUUUCUCUCUUAGAACUCGUAAGUCAAACAGGAAUCUUUCUUGCACCCGACGAAAACAGGACAUUCUCUGGUCGACUUAGCGCUUGCAGCAGAUUUCCUUUCUACAGCGACCUAAACUCAUAAGUCAGAAUGGAAUGGAAGUGAAGAGCAUCAGGUGGGUAAGUUAUCUUCUUCUAUAAUACAUACAUAAUGAUUCUUUAGUCCUAAUCUCGAGCGGCAGGGAGCUUAGAGACAAGCUACGUAGUUACCAAGUGCUGAGGCGUUCAGUUUAGCGAGGAAAAAGGGAUGCAGUGUGUGGUUAGGUUUACUCAUAUCUAUCUUGCUUGGUGGGGGCGCUAUCAAAUACUCUUUCUUUCCUUCGAGUGGAGUUCACGAAAACAGUACUUAUUCUGUGUCCUGCAGCUUUAUUCCAUAUUAGGAACUACGGAACGCGCUAGAUUCAAUUAGUUCUCUGUCUUCUCGUAAAGAAACAAGUAAAUAAACUCCUUCCCUUUGAUUUGGAAUUGAACCGCUCGUCGACAACACUGGCACCAAAGGAGACUCCACCUUAGUACACCGCUUGCAUUGACUUUCCGCUUGCUUCAUCUCUCGUUGACUUAACUCGCACCGCUACUGCACCCAAAACUAUUACUACAACUCGCUACCGCACCCCAACCAAAAAGUAUUACUACUUGCUUCUGUCGCCUGCAUCCUCACUGACACUUCACUUUAAUGCAUUGAUUGGACCACUACAAGGGGCUGAAUAAGGCCAGCAACUACUCAUUAAGUAAUUAAGGGAAAGCACUACUCGGCACAGAUAUAAUUCCUGAGCUGGGCGCAUUUCUUUAGUUAGGUACAGAAAGAUGGAUAUUAGAAUUAAUAGCAGUAAGGUUACUUACUUACAUAAGUUGUUGUGCACAUUCUUUGAUUUCGUCUUGUGCCCUAGAGAGAGAGAUAGUUUGAAAGUGAGAUUCUUUCUAUUGUGCUAUUGGAGUUGCAGGGUGCGUUGAGCCAGCAGUAACCAGUGAAGGAAGCAAUGCUGUUUAGAGUAAGGGAAGUGAAUCAAUUGUAUACUUUGUCGUUCAAUUCCAUUCUUCAGUGUUUGGGAGUGGCGUAAACAAAAACAAGUGAACAAGCCCUAUAAGCGUUUAUUGGAGCGGGUCGGGUGCUGUUGUUGCGCUAACUUAGAAGCGGGUAGGUGCUUUAGAGAGUUCCAGAACCCUAAGUGCAUUAGUUUCGGUGUUUAGUGAUGAAGUGACUUUCUUUCUAUAUAAGGAAUGGGUUAAUUCAAUUAUAAGGAAUGGGUUAAUUCCAUUCAAUUAAAGGGGGGCACACAGGCAGGCCCAGACUCAGUUAGAGUUUCGUUCGGGUCGAUAACACCUCUGCUCUGGCCACUUAGCGGUUAAGUAUCAAGUGUAAUCUAUGAUUGAAUCAGAGGCUCAAGUUCGCGCUAAAGGAAUCUCAGCAGCAAUCGAAGUUCGAGUGUAGUAAUAGAGAUAAGAUGCUAGAGAUGAAUAAAGAUCUGAUGCCGGAUCGGAAGAAGUCGACGUAACGGUUAAGUAUAAGUAGGCUUUAGCUCAAAGUUGUAUAAGGUGUUGUCCCCCUGUAGCUGGUGGAGUUCCAUAAACCGAAUCAAAAGAUUCCAUUACAGUUUGACUCGGCACAAGAGAAGAAGGAGAUUCAAUUAAUUCUUAGGACAGUUAAGAGUCGGAGUUCAGGUAUCCGUUUAGGGCCGUGUAUCGGUUCCAUUGGCUUUCCGUUCUUGUUAAGUAAACCAGAUCAGUAGAUGAAGCAGGAGUAGGAGCAGUUGCCGAAUCCAAAUCAAUAUAUAAAGCAGUGCGCAAGAGAAGCAUAAUCCGCAGGAGCUAGAUCUGUUGAGUGAGGAACUGAAAUAGACCCAUCGCCAGCACAAAGAGACUAUCCUGCUCCAGCUGAUGAUAAAGAGAAAGAUCCUGCAUCUCAAACUACACUUUCUGUCCCAAACUACACUUCAUCACUUGCUUCAACACGAGCUAUUAACGAGUCCAGUUUUCAUUGAUGGUUUCCAUUCUUAUAGUUAUUAGUUCAAUUCUAACUUAUGAGAGAUGGAGCACAGGGGUGUUUACUUAUAUCUAUUAAACAGAGCGGGUAACAAUCACAUACCUAUCGGGGAACUCACAUUCUUCCGUUUCUUCCCUUUCCAUUAAAAGCUUUCAACUGGUUCUGCUUCUUGUUUACUUGCUUCUAAAGCUACCCCAAGCCCAAGAGAUUCUCGACUGGAAUUUCAUUGAUCCGCUUCAGAUCUUGUCGAUGUCGACUUAGAGCCAACAACAGAACAAGUAGACCUAAUUCACCCUGCUUCUUUAUAAGAUGAAACUAGAACAGCCGAAUCUCUAUCUUUUAAAUAGAACAUAGGAGAACAUAGGAAUUGCCCCAACGUUAGCUGAACCUUUCGAUCGCCUUGUAAAGUCAACAAAGAAUUCAUUUCCAUCCAUUGUCUCGAGGUCAAAGUAUACAGUUUCAAGUCCGACAAGUAGACAAGCCGACAAGCAGACGCCAAGUCACUACUAGACAAUGAGCAAGUCCUAAUUCCGUAGAGUUCUCAAAAGUCCUGUGUGUGUUCUAGCGUCAGUGAGUUACCUGAUUCAAUGUUCUCUUUUUUGCUUCAGCUAGAGCUAGAUGAAUUUCCGUAAGUAUUUGUUGAGUUAAGAGCAAGUCCGUAUUUUGGCGAUCAAGCUAAUAAGUCGGAGUUGUAGAAUAAACAAGAUUAGAAGCAUAAGAUAGAAUAAGAGAAGAGUCGGUUAUUUACUGAAAUCUAUUGUUAGUAGUUGCGGGGCCUUGAUUCUUAUAUUUGUAGGUGGAAGAGACCAACUCAAGUCCCAAGAGCGAAAGAGCCAGUUAGUAGUUUUCGUUUGGUAAGUUGUGGGGGAAGAGUUAGAACCGGGCAGGUAAGAUUAGUUGGCCAUUAGGUAAGGCUAAAAGAAAGGAAUCUAGUCCUGAUAGUGACAAGUCAAGAAUGCCUAUAAAGAGUGCCAGAUUAAUCAAAAGGAAAAGCAGACUUUAAGAAGGAGUGGACUAGUGCAAGGGUAAAGGUCGAAGCUACUACUACAGAGCGAAAGACGGGAGCGGUAGUUUGGUAGUUAUGAGUUUUCUUCCUUAAGACAGGAGGAAUGGGGGUUUAUUUGAUAUUAGUGCCCCAAGAGGUAAGUUCGGGAGUUAUGAGCUACAGGCUACUAGUUUCAAUAAAUACUGUAGUCAAGGAAUGACAGACGACUUCUUUGUUUAGGUCCUCUGCUUUAGUUUAGUGCCUUAGCUUAGGGUUUCUACUUUGGAGUGGAUAUUCUCACUUAGCGCAAAAAAAGAGAGAUUCUGACUUGAAAAAGAAAUAGAUUAGUCCUGUCCCUUGCAUGCUUGCCUGUCUUCGGUGUUUUUUAUUAUUAGCAGUGGUGUUUGGGCUCAAUUACUGUUUGAGAGCUACCGCCUUGUUAGUCGUAGGUGUAUUCGAAGAGUUGUAUGGUGCCCGUAAAGUAAGCCUAUAAGUAAGUGCAUCUAGUCAUAGAAUAAUAGCGGAUUGCCCCCAAAAUAAGAGAAUAAUAGCGCUAAUCAUCAGAAUGGGGCCGGGGAGCGAGAGAUCGGACAACAACCAGUGCUUCUAAGACGGGGAAACUGCUGAUAGAAAGAAUCAAACAAAGAAAUAGGACUCGCUCUCCGGGGCACUAAGCUGUCUCCCUUACACUCCUAUUAUUACUCCCUUGCUUGAAACCUAAAUAUCCGCCUACCAGAGAAGUAGUAUAUCUAACCUAGCUAUCAAACUAGAAUUCCCUUAAACCAAUUCCUAUGUGCUUGUACCAGAAUUAUUUGUCAUUUACAAAAUCUACCUCACCUCCGAACCAACCCUGCACACCUAACUUUGGAUAUGAGCCUGCCUAUCUUACCUUCCAUUCUUUAUGGAACUACUAGAUUCUUAUUCCUCGUCAAAACUCUUAGGCCCUGAAGACCUGUUCCUGGCAUUCCCGCUCUCUAAGUUGAAGUAUGCCUCUGCCUAUCUCAAGAACCUAUCUAUUGAUUCCAACUAGAACCCCUGCCCUAGAGUCUUGUUAGUUCCCCUGAAACUCUUUAGUGAAAGUUAGGGUUGUACUCGUUAGCUACAUUACCAUUCUCUUGGUUUAGUAUUCCAUUGAUUCCUUGCAUUCUAUAUCUAUGCUUCAAACUGACCUUGCUCGCUUUAAUCCUCGAACAGCUUAUUUGAAUUCUUUAAAUGCUACCUGAAAAGCCUUACUUGUAUUAAUUUGAGCCUGACCUGACUCCUCUUUAUCCUAAGUAGAGGAACCUGACUCCUAUUAUUCUUCUUUAUCUUAUAGAGUACGGAAUUCCGCUAUUACCUUGAAGACUGGUCCCCGCGGCUACAGUAUAAGAAUGCCUACCCCAAACUCCAGUAUUAUAUCCCUGCCUCUCCGCUUGCCACUGCUACUUCUUAUACCUUAACUCAAAAGCGGUAAUUCAGCGACAACUGAAAGGGCUGCUACCAAUGCAAACAAUACUCGAACUGGAAACUGGGAAUACGCACAUCGAUAACAGGAAUCGAACAAGUACAAUAGAAUGCAUCUCCACGGGCGCAUACUGCAGAGCGACUAACUACCUGCUAUCAGAUUGGAGCUACUCACUAUGGGCCUGCUACUCUUAACUCGAAUUCUCUUACUAUACCUUAUCUCGUUCUGUAAGCGAGCGAUCAUUAAUAGUGACUCGGUGGGUAAGAAGUAGGAAAUCCACUCAUAAGUAGUCAAUCCACCUAGAAGCCUAUUUCUGGAAAGUAUCAAAUAAAGAAUAGAACCGAACCCCUUGUAUUAACUUAGUUCAGCUGACUUUAGAUUGGAUUUUGCUUAUCUUAUAUCUUAUAAAUACACUGCAACAUUGAAUCUAUCUCUCUUGUCGACAACUGAACUGGCCGCUCCCGCCAAUAACCUCUCCUCUAUUAAGCACCCAUCUCUUUCUUCUCUUAAAAGGAAAUAUAUAGUUACAGCUGAUAGGGAAAGCUUACUCUUUGAUCGACUAAGCCGAAAGACGGACGCAUUUCCUAACCCUUACUGCUAACAUCGGAUAUUCCUUCCAUUCUUCCUUUCUUGGGAUUAAUCGAUUAUUCGCAUUCAACCUGGAAACAAUUCUUUUUACAACGGACGGAAGUCUUUAUUAUUUGCAUUCCAUUGCUUAUCUUUGUGAUUCCUUUGCUUAUUGCCUAGGCAACAGUGAGUUUAGGCGAAGACACUUUGAUUGGGCGAGUAAUAUAUAGUUUGACACUUGCUUUCCGCUUAACCUCAAGCAGAAAUGGAUACGUACUUUUAUACUUUACUUGGUGGACCUG